Molecule: RNA transcript, 1051 nt
Organism: Spinacia oleracea (spinach)
Lineage: Eukaryota; Viridiplantae; Streptophyta; Magnoliopsida; Caryophyllales; Amaranthaceae
Exons: 3
Source: RefSeq, a predicted model, not a curated record
GCUAACAAAAUGACGAUUCUUCAAUUGAGAAAAGAAACAAUUUUGAAAGCGAUGAACAAAACAGAACAUAGGAGCUAGAAAAGAUAUAAGCUUAAAACCCUACCGAAAUGGCAGAAUCCAAAAACCCAAAAAACCACCACCAAGACCCUAAAUUCUCCUCCCCACAAACACCGCCAACAAAAGCCUCAAUUGAAGUUCACAACAACAAUGGCAGCAGCUCAAAUUCGGGUCAAAGGAUCCAUUUCCCGAACCCACCGGAGUCAUUCAACCCGGAUUCUGCAACUUUGAAGGAUCAAUGGAGGUUUGCUAUACGGCAAUACAGCAGAUGGUAUUCUCAUGCUUGGGGCACUGCUAUUCUUGCUGGUGGGGCCUUCUUUGCUCUUGGUUGGAUCAUCAAGGGUGGCAACCCUCUCCCUUCUAAAGAUCCUGAUCAUCAAAAAUCUGAUCACAAUCAAGGAAAAAUAUGAUGAUCAUCAAGGAUGUAGUCACAGUAUCGGAUGAAAGGUUGAUGAGAAGGGUGCAGCUCGCCCUACCGAGGUGCAUUAUAUACAAGGUGUCAAAUUGGAGCUGACCUUUAGAUCAUUGGCUCUGUGGAUGUGAAUGACUGUUUUCAAACUCUCUUUUGCUGAACUCUGAAAACAGAUCUAUGGAAAAGAUUUAGGAUGUGCCUCACUCACUACUAACGUGGAUCAUCUCCAAUGUCAAGCGCCUUCCUGCUCACAACAUGAUAAAUCUGGGAUAAAACUUCAGUAAAUGCAUUCUCAACGUUGAGUGCUUCCAAUGCAGAUGUUUCCAUGAAGAAAGUAUUCUCCCUUUCAGAAAAACCUUUGGCAUCUUCCACAGAUACGGCACGCAGGUGACGUAAAUCAGCCUUGUUUCCAACAAGCAUGAUGACGAUGCUGGAAUCUGUGUGAUCACGGAGUUCCUUAAGCCAUCUCUGCAUGUUUUCGAAUGUGACAUGGCGUGUAACAUCGUAGACAACCAAUGCACCAACAGCUCCUCGGUAGUAUGCACUCGUGAUUGCACGAUACCUUCAUCAAUCCAAAACAUC